UUUUGAAUAAUAAUUAUGCAAGAAAAGAAAUGGUAGACUGAACCAUAUAAAUAUUUUUAUUAUAUAUGUGACUGCAUCGUGACUAUAGGUCAACCAAGGUCGGAUCUUAAGGUACCUAAGUAAUCUAGUCGGGAUAUUCAACCUCUAUCUUUAUGUGAAAACCAAAUCCUGAACCUUAUGGUAUGAACAGAGAUACUCAUACUUCUUUUAUGGAUAAGGCUAACAAAAAUGCAGUUAACAAAUAUGAACUCCUGAGGCCUUCCUAUUGUCAUUAAGUACACGUGUGGGGAUCUAAUAAUAGGUCUCUGAUCAGUCAUAGUAUGCAUGUGUUCCUUGCCUUAAUAGUUGCACACACUCAAUAUGAAAAUACAUGUGCAUUUGCUUAGAAAAGAAAGUAAUAGAAUAAAUCAAAUGCAAAAAC
RNAcentral lists this long non-coding RNA (421 nucleotides) under Phoenix dactylifera (date palm). RNAcentral describes it as "long non-coding RNA (PDAC_LNC012788)". Lineage: Eukaryota; Viridiplantae; Streptophyta; Magnoliopsida; Arecales; Arecaceae. The record is from RNAcentral.